This 77-nucleotide non-coding RNA is filed under the name Pedobacter caeni. The record is from RNAcentral. Lineage: Bacteria; Pseudomonadati; Bacteroidota; Sphingobacteriia; Sphingobacteriales; Sphingobacteriaceae.
CAAGGAUAUGUAGUGAUAUAUGUCCGGUUCAUCAGAAGUCAGCAGAAGCCAUAGUACCUUUUUUUUUAGGGAAGGGC